This 385-nucleotide ribosomal RNA is filed under the name Leptographium alethinum. RNAcentral's name for it is "eukaryotic LSU rRNA". It matches the Rfam family "Eukaryotic large subunit ribosomal RNA", at positions 1 to 387 of the family's 3401-position model. Lineage: Eukaryota; Fungi; Ascomycota; Sordariomycetes; Ophiostomatales; Ophiostomataceae. RNAcentral also lists the same sequence under 1 other name. The record is from RNAcentral.
UUGACCUCGGAUCAGGUAGGACUACCCGCUGAACUUAAGCAUAUCAAUAAGCGGAGGAAAAGAAACCAACAGGGAUUGCCCCAGUAACGGCGAGUGAAGCGGCAACAGCUCAGAUUUGGAAUCUGGCCCCCAGGGCCCGAGUUGUAAUCUGGAGAGGAUGCUUCUGGCGCGGCGCCUUCCGAGUUCCCUGGAACGGGACGCCGGAGAGGGUGAGAGCCCCGUACGGUCGGACGCCCAGCCUUUGUGAAGCUCCUUCGACGAGUCGAGUAGUUUGGGAAUGCUGCUCAAAAUGGGAGGUAAAUUUCUUCUAAAGCUAAAUACCGGCCAGAGACCGAUAGCGCACAAGUAGAGUGAUCGAAAGAUGAAAAGCACUUUGAAAAGAGGG